RNAcentral lists this ribosomal RNA (548 nucleotides) under uncultured beta proteobacterium. RNAcentral describes it as "bacterial SSU rRNA". It matches the Rfam family "Bacterial small subunit ribosomal RNA", at positions 355 to 896 of the family's 1533-position model. Lineage: Bacteria; Pseudomonadati; Pseudomonadota; Betaproteobacteria. The record is from RNAcentral.
UGGGGAAUUUUGGACAAUGGGGGCAACCCUGAUCCAGCAAUGCCGCGUGUGUGAAGAAGGCCUUCGGGUUGUAAAGCACUUUUGUCCGGAAAGAAGACGUUCUGGUUAAUACCUGGGGCGGAUGACGGUACCGGAAGAAUAAGCACCGGCUAACUACGUGCCAGCAGCCGCGGUAAUACGUAGGGUGCGAGCGUUAAUCGGAAUUACUGGGCGUAAAGCGUGCGCAGGCGGUUUUGUAAGACAGGCGUGAAAUCCCCGGGCUUAACCUGGGAAUUGCGCUUGUGACUGCAAGGCUAGAGUGCGUCAGAGGGGGGUAGAAUUCCACGUGUAGCAGUGAAAUGCGUAGAGAUGUGGAGGAAUACCGAUGGCGAAGGCAGCCCCCUGGGACGUGACUGACGCUCAUGCACGAAAGCGUGGGGAGCAAACAGGAUUAGAUACCCUGGUAGUCCACGCCCUAAACGAUGUCAACUAGUUGUUGGGGAUUCAUUUUCUCAGUAACGUAGCUAACGCGUGAAGUUGACCGCCUGGGGAGUACGGUCGCAAGAUUA